AUUUGUACCCUCAAGCUCUGCUUGGUGUUGGGUGUUUGUCCCGCCUUUUGCGCGUGGACUCGCCUUAAAGCGAUUGGCAGCCGGCAUAUUGUCUCGGAGCGCAGCACAUUUUGCGCUUCUUUGCAUACUUGUUGGCCCCCAGUAAGCCUUUUACAUUUGCUCUUGACCUCGGAUCAGGUAGGGAUACCCGCUGAACUUAA
Molecule: unclassified non-coding RNA, 200 nt
Filed under: soil metagenome
Description: partial contains internal transcribed spacer 2 and large subunit ribosomal RNA
Source: RNAcentral